RNAcentral lists this long non-coding RNA (307 nucleotides) under Lupinus angustifolius (narrow-leaved blue lupine). RNAcentral describes it as "long non-coding RNA (LANG_LNC001604)". Lineage: Eukaryota; Viridiplantae; Streptophyta; Magnoliopsida; Fabales; Fabaceae. The record is from RNAcentral.
CCUUCAUUCAUUGUGCUCUCAAGUAUAUACAUUGCCUACUCUAAAUCUUCUUCUUUGUUAACCUUCUUCAUUUUUACUUCUAUUUCUUCCUCUGCUCCUCUGUUUCUAUUUUCUUCCUUUUGNUUCCUUUUGUUUUCAUUGCCUAACUACAACAGUGGUAUCAGCAGCUUUGCGCGUGCAAAUUCUGUGUGAAUCUUCCUAGGGGACCUGUGUGAGCUUCUACGUGAUCAGCAGAAGCAAGGUGUAGUAGUGAUGACAAACAAUGGAGGAUUCUCAUUGACACUUCCCAUCUUGGAUGGCAAGAAUU